This 253-nucleotide ribosomal RNA is filed under the name uncultured Eubacteriales bacterium. RNAcentral's name for it is "uncultured Clostridiales bacterium partial 16S ribosomal RNA". It matches the Rfam family "Bacterial small subunit ribosomal RNA", at positions 524 to 776 of the family's 1533-position model. Lineage: Bacteria; Bacillati; Bacillota; Clostridia; Eubacteriales. The record is from RNAcentral.
UACGUAGGGGGCAAGCGUUAUCCGGAUUUACUGGGUGUAAAGGGAGCGUAGGUGGCAAGGCAAGUCAGAUGUGAAAACCCGGGGCCCAACCCCGGGAGUGCAUUUGAAACUGUCUGGCUAGAGUGCAGGAGAGGUAAGUGGAAUUCCUAGUGUAGCGGUGAAAUGCAUAGAUAUUGGGAGGAACAUCAGUGGCGAAGGCGGCCAACUGGGCUUUUACUGACGCUGAGGCUCGAAAGCGUGGGGAGCAAACAGG